RNAcentral lists this long non-coding RNA (3288 nucleotides) under Lactuca sativa (garden lettuce). Its description in RNAcentral is "long non-coding RNA (LSAT_LNC003623)". The record is from RNAcentral. Lineage: Eukaryota; Viridiplantae; Streptophyta; Magnoliopsida; Asterales; Asteraceae.
AAGACUCGUAUUCUCUCUGGAUCAAAUAGCAAAAUCCUAAAGUUAUAGAGCCGAACUUGCAUCUAAUCCGCCCAACUCAUCGUCAUCAUCACCCGUCGUCUUCACCAUCUCUAUGCACUUGCAACAAUUUUCCGGUGACCAACCCCUACCACGAUGCACAUUUGCCUCUCUUCUCUACUCUAACUUACUAUCCAACCCCGCCACCACUCAUCGUCACCAACAAUGCAAUUGCUGAUGCCCCCAUCUCAGCCACCAUCCGGUGGCUAAGCGUCGACGGUCACCCUGCUUGGACUGUGACAUCGGUGACCUGACUCAUUCAACCGACCCUAAAAGCCCUUUUUCUUCUAUGCUAAUAUAUAUCUAAGGUAAAUCACAAUAUAUGCUUUUUUUUUGCAAGAUUUCUCUUGGUUUGUUGUGUAAACAUAACGAUUCUCAACAAUUCUGACUUUUUAAAUUGAUAGGUUCGUCUUGGUUGUAGGUGAUCAACCCAUACUUGGUAAUAUGCUUCCCUUUUUAGAGAAAUUUUUAAUCUUUUAGGGCAUUUUUUUAAUCUUGGUUGCAGGUGUUCAGCUCCUAGCACAAAAGUUUGUUUUGAGGUAUUGCAAUAAGUUUAAGAUACAUAAAGUGGUCGGUGGUUAUAGAAAAUAGGCUUUAUGUUUUGGUACUAUUUGAGGCGAAUCUAAUUCUUAUAUUAUCAUUUUUUUCAGUAUUAAAAGUCUGCUCAUUGUUCAAAUACCUUGAAAUUUUCUUCAAAAAUCUAUUAAUCAUAUGUUGUUCUUUCAAUAAGCCUAUUUCUUAUUUUGUUAUUCCUUCUUUGCAGGUUAUUUGGUUAUGGUUUUGGACUGAUGGAAUUAGAUAAAAUGAUAGAGCCAGCUUAAAGCAGAGUUUUUCAGGUGCUCUCCAGAAACCCUGGUCCUCACAACAAUAAUUGAAGAAAUUAAGGGAAAAGGAACCUAUUUAGUAAAAAAAGAAAAUCUUCCAAAAGGUAAGCCUUGCUUUGUUUAGACUUCGAUAUGAUGCUUCAUUUUAGUGUUCUUUUUCUAUUAUUUUUGUUUUCCUCCACUAACUUAUAAGAUACAAAGAGGAAGCAUUGGAUUUCCCUUUUGAUAUAACUCAAUUGUUUUUAUAAUUUUACUGUAACUCAUUAAAAUAAGUUCAAAAUAUGUUCCAGGUUUACUAAAUGUUUUCGGAUUUUGAUUUUUGAACAUAGGGUCUACCGCAAGAGAAAAAUAGGAACAAGGGUGGUUCAGUGAGAUGGUGCAUUUUCUGUUAACAUGUAACAUCCCCUCCCCCAAUACACACACAUAUAUUUUUUAGACAUAAAAAGGACCAUAUCAUUUAUUGUAUGAAAAUGCCAAUAGUAAGAUCACUAUGCAGGGCCGGUACUAAGGUGUAACAUACACGUUCAGUUUUCGUGUUAUGUAAUUUUAAAAGUGAAAAAUAUAAUGAAAAAUUAUAUGAAGUUGAACAUUGAGUUCUAACAGAUAGUUUUUACUAGAAAUGAAGUAAACUAUGUUUAGAAUCACUUGGAAAAUACUGAAAGUCUUAUGAGAUUCCAAUCUAAUGUCAAAUAUUGAAAUUUAACGAAAAAAUUAAAGUUGAAAAUAAGUAAAAAUUAUAAUACUGAAAGUUGUAAAGAAUCUCAUUAGAAACAUUUAGGCGAAAACCUCAUCGAAAUCCGAGUUAUAACAAAGAAGUUAUGACCAAUCGAAGAUUCGCGACAGAACCGACACAACGUUGUAUGACGUAAAAAGUGAGUUUUUGAUAUACUACUUUUUAGCUUUAGUGAUCUAAACGAAAGUCGUAGUAUUCAUUAAACCGAGAAUUUUCAUAAAAAGAACAUCCAAAUCUAACUUUGUAUAAGGAAGUUAUGAUUUUUCUAAGUUUCAAAAUAGUAGUAGACAACUAAAAACUCGAAAUAAAGAUCGGGUGAUUUUUAGCCGAUGCAACCUAAACGAGAAUCGAAAGUCUCGACAAUAGUAGUACAACGGUAAAAAGACAGACGAAAACAGACGUCGGAUGAAGAAAUUAUGAAUUUUUAACGGACUUUUCCUAUCCCGGCUCGUUAAAAAUAUAAUAUUAAAAAUAAAGUCAAAAUUAGCCUAUGGAGUCUAAACGAAAGUUGUAAAUCAUAAUCUCACCUACGCGUGAACAUAAAGAACGUCAAAAACGGAGCUCGUAUGCAAAAGAUACGAAUUUUUGAAGUUUGGAAUUUCGGAGUACGCCCAACAUACUCGUUUUCACGGUCCAAGAUUGACCACGUCGCCCAAACUCUCGCAUACGACACGUAUCAUGCAGGUUCGACACAUCUGAUGCCACACAUCAGGGUAUGCCCAGCGUAUAGAGCCGCAUUCUGUACGCCCCGCGUACUGGAAUUACGCCCAGUGUACGGAGGGUUUUCAGCCACUAUAAAUAGAAACCGAAGGCUUCCGAAUUUGGUUUACAAUUUCACUCUGUCUCACCCUUUUACUCUCUCUCAAACUCUCCUAACACCAUCCGAAGUCCCGGUAUCAUUCCCGACACCUGAAGCAAGUCCUGACGCCCCGAAGAGCCGAGAAAAUAAUAUUUUCAAGUUGAAACUGUUCCAUGGCAAGGCCUGGUUUUCAACUAAAAUCCCCGGUUUUGUCACAGAAAGUCAUAUAAAAGUCAAAGUGCUACCCAAAUUAAUACUUUAAUCCCCGGUUAUUUCACGGCGAAUUCAAUAUAUAAUAACAAUUGUAUGUUAUGUGUUAUAUGUGUUAUGUGCUUUUCCAUGUUAUCAUCUUGUGUUAUUAUUUCUGCUAUUUUGAUAGCAAAGUUGUACCUUUGGCCAUGUGAUCAGUGAAAGAACUUAGAUUCACAAUGAUAUUGGUAUGUAGCCUCUGGCCGUGUAGAGCACGUCUCGUAAGAGAAUGAAUUCUACCGCUAUGACAUUGGCAUAAGGUUAGAUAUGGCUGAAAGCCUGAUGUUAUUGAUGUUUAUCAAGUAUCGAAAUUGUUAUGUCUCAUUGAUUGUUAUGGAAAGCCUGUCGCAUGAUUCACAUAUGAUUUUGUUGUUCCUUGUUCCCUUUUGUUUCUGCCAUAUUAAAGUAUAUAUAUGGCAUAAUGUUAUAUUGUAUCUAUUAUUGAACUCACUAAGCAUCACUGCUUACCCCUCUCAGUGUUUAACAAUUGCAGGUAAUGAAAAUCCAUUAUAGUCAUAUAUUAUUGGAAGAUUUAGAAUAGUUUAUACUAUUAUUUUUGUACUUGGGUUUACGUUUGUAUAAAAGCUUAAAUAUCUUGGGUAGUUAUGUAAUAUACUAAAACUCAG